This 166-nucleotide ribosomal RNA is filed under the name Graderia scabra. RNAcentral describes it as "5.8S ribosomal RNA". It matches the Rfam family "5.8S ribosomal RNA". Rfam says of the family: 5.8S ribosomal RNA (5.8S rRNA) is a component of the large subunit of the eukaryotic ribosome. It is transcribed by RNA polymerase I as part of the 45S precursor that also contains 18S and 28S rRNA. Functionally, it is thought that 5.8S rRNA may be involved in ribosome translocation. Lineage: Eukaryota; Viridiplantae; Streptophyta; Magnoliopsida; Lamiales; Orobanchaceae. The record is from RNAcentral.
CUAAACGACUCUCGGCAACGGAUAUCUCGGCUCUCGCAUCGAUGAAGAACGUAGCGAAAUGCGAUACUUGGUGUGAAUUGCAGAAUCCCGUGAACCAUCGAGUCUUUGAACGCAAGUUGCGCCCGAAGCCUCACGGCUGAGGGCACGCCUGCCUGGGCGUCACGCA